Molecule: ribosomal RNA, 253 nt
Filed under: uncultured bacterium
Lineage: Bacteria
Description: partial 16S ribosomal RNA
Rfam family: Bacterial small subunit ribosomal RNA
Source: RNAcentral
UACGGAGGGAGCUAGCGUUGUUCGGAAUUACUGGGCGUAAAGCGCACGUAGGCGGCUUUGUAAGUUAGAGGUGAAAGCCUGGGGCUCAACUCCAGAACUGCCUUUAAAACUGCAUCGCUUGAACCCAGGAGAGGUGAGUGGAAUUCCGAGUGUAGAGGUGAAAUUCGUAGAUAUUCGGAAGAACACCAGUGGCGAAGGCGGCUCACUGGACUGGUAUUGACGCUGAGGUGCGAAAGCGUGGGGAGCAAACAGG